Molecule: long non-coding RNA, 394 nt
Filed under: Lathyrus oleraceus (garden pea)
Lineage: Eukaryota; Viridiplantae; Streptophyta; Magnoliopsida; Fabales; Fabaceae
Description: Pisum sativum (pea) long non-coding RNA (PSAT_LNC027090)
Source: RNAcentral
UCUCUUUCUCUCUCUCUCUCUCUCGGUUUCCACUCUCCCUCUCUAAAACCUCUCUCUCUCUCUCCUAAGUGGUCGGACCGCCACCAACAACUAAAACACUAAAAAAAGCCAUCACCCAAGAUCUACCGAGGCGGACCCAACGGUGGUGAUGAUGAACAUCAUGAAGAUGUUCAUCACAAAACCCAAAUUUUCCAGAUUUUAGCCAAUCAAUAAAAUUUCAAACAUAACUCGACCCUAAAACAUACGUUUAAACACAAACCCAUAAACAAAUUGAACAAAAUCCUCACAGAUUCAGAGAUUGAAUACACCCCCAAACCAAAACCCUAUACACCAAAAUAAACUAAUAUUCCUAAAUUAAACAUACAAUUUCUGGCAUCAAAUGAAAACAUGGAAA